GGAUACGGCCAUACUGCGCAGAAAGCACCGCUUCCCAUCCGAACAGCGAAGUUAAGCUGCGCCAGGCGGUGUUAGUACUGGGGUGGGCGACCACCCGGGAAUCCACCGUGCCGUAUCCUCAU
RNAcentral lists this ribosomal RNA (122 nucleotides) under Acanthamoeba healyi. Lineage: Eukaryota; Discosea; Longamoebia; Acanthamoebidae. The record is from RNAcentral.